AAUCAACGCUGGCGGCGUGCCUAACACAUGCAAGUCGAACGAGAAAGUGGAGCAAUCCAUGAGUAAAGUGGCGCACGGGUGAGUAACACGUGACUAACCUACCCUGGAGUGGGGAAUAACUGAGGGAAACCUUAGCUAAUACCGCAUAACACCUACGGGUCAAAGGAGCAAUUCGCUUCAGGAGGGGGUCGCGGCCGAUUAGUUAGUUGGCGGGGUAAUGGCCCACCAAGACGAUGAUCGGUAUCCGGCCUGAGAGGGCGCACGGACACACUGGAACUGAAACACGGUCCAGACUCCUACGGGAGGCAGCAGUGGGGAAUUUUGCGCAAUGGGGGAAACCCUGACGCAGCAACGCCGCGUGGAGGAUGAAGUCCUUCGGGACGUAAACUCCUUUCGAUCGGGACGAUAAUGACGGUACCGAGAGAAGAAGCCCCGGCUAACUUCGUGCCAGCAGCCGCGGUAAUACGAGGGGGGCGAGCGUUGUUCGGAAUUAUUGGGCGUAAAGGGUGCGUAGGCGGUUUGGUAAGUCUGAUGCGAAAUCUAUGGGCUCAACUCAUAGUCUGCAUCG
This 568-nucleotide ribosomal RNA is filed under the name uncultured Acidobacteriota bacterium. RNAcentral's name for it is "bacterial SSU rRNA". It matches the Rfam family "Bacterial small subunit ribosomal RNA", at positions 28 to 628 of the family's 1533-position model. The record is from RNAcentral. Lineage: Bacteria; Pseudomonadati; Acidobacteriota.